Long non-coding RNA from Oncorhynchus tshawytscha (Chinook salmon), 902 nucleotides. The record is from Ensembl. Lineage: Eukaryota; Metazoa; Chordata; Actinopteri; Salmoniformes; Salmonidae.
GUUCAAACGCUGUCCUUGUUUUGUUUCAUGUCGGUUAUUUACUAAAUAUUCACUCCCUGUACUUGCUUCUCGUCUCCCAGCAUCUGCCCUCACAGACUGGCUGACUGGCAUGGGGAGGCGAGGGGGAGAAGAGAACAGGUGUCUAGACCAGACAGCAGUCAGUGAGCCUUUGCUCAUCACCACAACUGUCUUAUUUAUUCAGGAACAUCCACAAACUUACAGCACUCAGUUGUUGCAGUGUCAAAUUGAUUGCAGUUUCAAAUUCAAAUGGCAAAGAAUAGCCACAAAGCCAUGUUUUCUAACUUAUCCAAAGACUACAAUAACACCAUCAAGAAGACUGUCAAGCUUUGUCUCUUGCCUGUUUUUCAGAUGUGCAAAUGGUUCUGUGGAUGUGUAGCAUCUUCCCUGUCCAUGUCAACAAGUCAACUUGGCCAGGUUCGCCAGGGGGUUUUCCCGGUUCGCCGGGGUUUUCCAGGUUCGCCGGGGUAUUCCCGGUUCGCUGGGGUUUUCCAGGUUCGCCAGGGUUUUCCCAGUUCGCCGGGGUUUUCCCAGUUCACCGGGGUUUUCCCAGUUCGCCAGGGUUUCACUCGUUCACCAGGGUUGUACUAUAGCAGUGAAAUAUACGUGCUGUUUCUGCAUUGUAUUUCCUCUGCUGCCAUUCUUCUGUGUUGAACGAAGGGACAAACAGGACAAAUCAAUUCUACAUUUGCUUUCACUUAAAUGCUGACAUUGUAUGUAAUGAGGUUCGUAUGUGAUGAGGUUCGUAUGUAAUGAAGUUCGUAGGUAAACUAAAACUGUGCAGUUAAAAGUGUGCUGUGCCAUUUCAAGGCAGAUAUCAACACAAUAGGUCAAAAUGUAUAAUUCAGCCAAUGUUAGUGUAUUUACAUUAAAAUCACUUUUUA